GGGCAGCGAUCGCCGAAUCCCCGUCAGGCGCGAGCCUGGGGAACCGGGGACCCACCGUCCCCUGGGGUGAAUCGGACGCCUUCGCCACCGCGCGGAGGGGCCCGUAGGAGACCUUCCUGCUCCGAACCCGUCAGCUAACCCGGUAGGCGAGAGGGAAGGAAAGG
Molecule: small RNA, 164 nt
Filed under: Streptomyces kanasensis
Lineage: Bacteria; Bacillati; Actinomycetota; Actinomycetes; Kitasatosporales; Streptomycetaceae
Description: c-di-AMP sequence
Rfam family: c-di-AMP riboswitch aptamer (ydaO/yuaA leader)
About the family: This family represents a conserved RNA structure found upstream of the ydaO and yuaA genes in Bacillus subtilis and related genes in other bacteria. The ydaO/yuaA element is thought to act as a genetic "off" switch for the ydaO and yuaA genes in its native state.
Source: Rfam by way of RNAcentral